AUCUUGUCAUCGAAUAUAUAAAUUAGGCUAAAAUACAUAAAAUCCUCCUGUCAAAAUUUAAUUUUUUAUUUUCCCUCUUGUCAUUUAAAAAUCAACACUUUGCCCCAUUGUAAACUGAAAAAUAUUCACUUCACCUCUUCACUACAACAGAAUUAAGUUAUAGGGACAUAUAUUUGGGACACUUUUGUAUAAAUCUCUUAUUUAUACCAAAACUUAAAAAAAUAUCUACUAAUGUCUAAAUAUAAAGGCUAAUCCAACCAAAAAUAAAAGGUUACUCUAUUCAACCCACCCCAUCCAGCCCAUUCGGCCAGAUCACAAACAGAAAAGAAACAGAAAAAAAAAUCGUCGACUACCAUCUCCCCUUCUCCUCUCACUCAAUCCACUGAAAUGCUAGGCGUAGAGCCCUUUCCUCUUGUCCUCCUCUGCCGUCGCAGCCAACGUGGUAGAGUUUCGACGGUUGCUAAAUGCUUAAAUAAGUGUUGGUAAAUUAGCAGCACUCUUAUUAGAUUAUAGCGACACUCUUUAACUGUCACUAUAUACCUAGUGACUCCACAUAUAGCAAAACUUUUUAAAAGUGUCGGUAAUUUAGUCAGCAGCACUUUUUUUUGACAUGUACCAACAUUUAAAAGUGUCGCUAUAGAUCGUUGUUGUUGUAGUGCUUACCUUUAGUAAUCAGUUAGGGCUCCGUUUAUAAAACAUUAUUAUAUAUUUUUUUAUGCCAAAAAUGUUCUCAGUCUUAUCUUUUGUGAAUAUUGUGAGGGGCAAAAUGAUGAAGGGCAAAAUGAUCAUUUUGUCAUCACAGUUUACACCAUAUCCCUCUGUGAAUAUUUUUUAUUUUAUAAGGGGGUAAAGUGUAGGUUUUUAAAUGACGUUGGGGGGGAGGGGGGAGUGAAAAAUCGAGUUUUGAUAGAAAUUUUUUUUGUAAUUUAGCCUAUAAAUUAAGAAAGUUUAUAAAUAUAUGUUUUAAUUAUAUGUAAUGAAGUUAAAUAUUUU
This 993-nucleotide long non-coding RNA is filed under the name Ananas comosus (pineapple). RNAcentral's name for it is "long non-coding RNA (ACOM_LNC011560)". The record is from RNAcentral. Lineage: Eukaryota; Viridiplantae; Streptophyta; Magnoliopsida; Poales; Bromeliaceae.